RNAcentral lists this unclassified non-coding RNA (515 nucleotides) under Hevea brasiliensis (rubber tree). Lineage: Eukaryota; Viridiplantae; Streptophyta; Magnoliopsida; Malpighiales; Euphorbiaceae. The record is from RNAcentral.
GGUGUUCUUCUUUGGGUUUUGAAGUCGACAUGAUAAAGACCGAAUCUUACAGUAUAGCCAUGAGCCCAUUCAAAGUUAUCUAGGAGAGACCAUACAAAGUAUCCUCUUACAUCGGCCCGCCACCGCCGCCGCCGCUUCGCCGGAGUCGACAGACGACAACUCCAGCUGGAUACAAGAAUCAAUCAACGGCGGGUCCCUCCGCCACGUCGACCUCCACACCGGAUCCAAUGGCUGGGCCUCGCCCCCCGGCGACCUCUUCGCCGUCCGCGGCCGCACCUACUUCUCUCGCCGCCAGAAGUCCCCCUCCGGCGACUGGCUCCUCAAGCCCGCAGGCGUCGACUGGCUCCGCUCCCCCGCUCGCCUCGACAACGUACUCGCCCGUCCGGACAACCGCGUCGCCGCCGCCCUCCGCCGCGCCCACUCCCUCGGCCGCUCUCUCAAAUCCUUCAUCAUCGCCGUCAAUCUCCAAGUCCCCGGCCGCGAGUGCCACUCCGCCGUCUUCUACUUUGCCACCG